ACGCUCGACACCUACGGGAGACAGCAGUGGGGAAUAUUGGGCAAUGGGCGCAAGCCUGACCCAGCAACGCCGCGUGAAGGAAGAAGGCUUUCGGGUUGUAAACUUCUUUUAUUAAGGACGAAGCAAUGACGGUACUUAAUGAAUAAGCCCCGGCUAACUACGUGCUAGCAGCCGCCGGUAAUCUGAGCGGGCUGGCAAGGCU
This 202-nucleotide ribosomal RNA is filed under the name uncultured bacterium. RNAcentral describes it as "partial 16S ribosomal RNA". It matches the Rfam family "Bacterial small subunit ribosomal RNA", at positions 328 to 539 of the family's 1533-position model. The record is from RNAcentral.